UGGGGAAUUUUGGACAAUGGGCGCAAGCCUGAUCCAGCCAUGCCGCGUGCAGGAUGAGGGCCUUCGGGUUGUAAACUGCUUUUGUACGGAACGAAAAGACUCCUUCUAAUAAAGGGGGUCCAUGACGGUACUGUAAGAAUAAGCACCGGCUAACUACGUGCCAGCAGCCGCGGUAAUACGUAGGGUGCGAGCGUUAAUCGGAAUUACUGGGCGUAAAGCGUGCGCAGGCGGUUAUAUAAGACAGGUGUGAAAUCCCCGGGCUCAACCUGGGAACUGCAUUUGUGACUGUAUAGCUAGAGUACGGCAGAGGGGGAUGGAAUUCCGCGUGUAGCAGUGAAAUGCGUAGAUAUGCGGAGGAACACCGAUGGCGAAGGCAAUCCCCUGGACCUGUACUGACGCUCAUGCACGAAAGCGUGGGGAGCAAACA
Molecule: ribosomal RNA, 427 nt
Filed under: uncultured bacterium
Lineage: Bacteria
Description: bacterial SSU rRNA
Rfam family: Bacterial small subunit ribosomal RNA
Source: RNAcentral